GGUGAACGCUAGCGGCAGGCCUAACACAUGCAAGUCGAGGGGCAUCAUGGCGUAGCAAUACGCUGAUGGCGACCGGCGCACGGGUGCGUAACGCGUAUGGAACCUACCCACCGCAGGGGGAUAACCCGCCGAAAGGCGGACUAAUACCCCAUGGUUCCCCGACCCUGCCUGGGGUUGGGGGUAAAGCCUACGGGCGGCGGUGGAUGGCCCUGCGUGCCGUUAGCUGGCUGGUGGGGUAACGGCCCACCAGGGCGACGAUGGCUAGGGGGUCUGAGAGGACGAUCCCCCACACUGGUACUGAGACACGGACCAGACUCCUACGGGAGGCAGCAGUCGAGAAUAGUCUACAAUGGCCGGAAGGCUGAUAGUGCGACGCCGCGUGAACGAGGGAGCCCUUCGGGGUGUAAAGUUCUUUUCUAUACGAGCAGUGCUAUAUAUAUGGAUAGUAUAUAUAGAGGGAUAGUGGUAUAGGAAUAAGCAACGGCUAACUCCGUGCCAGCAGCCGCGGUAAA
Molecule: ribosomal RNA, 512 nt
Filed under: uncultured bacterium
Lineage: Bacteria
Description: bacterial SSU rRNA
Rfam family: Bacterial small subunit ribosomal RNA
Source: RNAcentral